RNAcentral lists this long non-coding RNA (550 nucleotides) under Brassica rapa (field mustard). Its description in RNAcentral is "long non-coding RNA (BRAP_LNC007148)". The record is from RNAcentral. Lineage: Eukaryota; Viridiplantae; Streptophyta; Magnoliopsida; Brassicales; Brassicaceae.
ACAAGACCAAGUUUUGGGAUUUCGACGCAACUAUAUAUUUUCCAACUCACUUUUAUUUUUGUGGAAACAAUCAUGAUUUUUUGUUGUUGUCAGUAUGGAUCUUUUUUGAAUGAUAAAUACUUUCUUUCGUUAAGUCUUAUCUAGAGUGAAUCUGUGGCCAAUUAUUUUUAUGAUAAUAUAAAUAACUAGUGCGAACACUAAAGAUUCCUGAAGAUUAAAGAAGUCGACGAGUUUGUUCAGUGGAGGAAUCCAAUAUUUUCAUGUGUCAUGUCUGAAUUUAGGUCGUUAAACGUAACGAUUAUUUUUUUUUUUUUAACAUUUAAUGCAACGAUUAUUUUUGUCAAAGAUUUUAUUAUAUAUAGCCAAAGAAAGAUAUAACGAUAAAUGAAAAAAAGGUAUAAAAUAAAUCUUAUUGAUGAAUCAAUUAUUCUUUAACCUCUCAGGAUAUAAGUAGUGAUUCGUUUUGUCAUUCAUAUUAAAUUUUUGGUAAACAUUAUAUAUAAUAAAUAGUUCUAGAAAGAAAUGACUUAUAGCCUAUACGUAGUUCAUG